UACGCUGGCGGCACGCCUUAUACAUGCAAGUCGAACGAAGUAGCAAUACUUAGUGGCAGACGGGUGAGUAACAUGUAGGUAUCUACCCUUUGGCCUGGAAUAACACGAGGAAACUUGUGCUAAUACCGGAUAAGUCUUUACGGAGAAAGCUUUAUGCACCAUUGGAUGAGCCUGCACUAGAUUAGUUUGUUGGUGGGGUAAUGGCCUACCAAGACUAUGAUCUAUAGCUGAUUUGAGAGGAUGAUCAGCCACAUUGGAACUGAGACACGGUCCAAACUCCUACGGGAGGCAGCAGUAGGGAAUCUUGCACAAUGGAGGAAACUCUGAUGCAGCGAUGCCGCGUGAGUGAAGAAGGCCUUUGGGUUGUAAAGCUCUUUCGUCGGGGAAGAAAAUGACUGUACCCGAAUAAGAAGGUCCGGCUAACU
This 425-nucleotide ribosomal RNA is filed under the name uncultured bacterium. RNAcentral's name for it is "bacterial SSU rRNA". It matches the Rfam family "Bacterial small subunit ribosomal RNA", at positions 33 to 502 of the family's 1533-position model. The record is from RNAcentral.